CCUACGGGAGGCAGCAGUGAGGAAUUUUCUGCAAUGGGCGAAAGCCUGACAGAGCAAUAUCGCGUGAGGGACGAAGGUCUAUUGAUUGUAAACCUCUUUUCUUAAGGAAGAAUAACUGACAGUACUUAAGGAAUAAGUAUCGGCUAACUCUGUGCCAGCAGCCGCGGUAAU
RNAcentral lists this ribosomal RNA (171 nucleotides) under uncultured bacterium. RNAcentral's name for it is "partial 16S ribosomal RNA". It matches the Rfam family "Bacterial small subunit ribosomal RNA", at positions 338 to 524 of the family's 1533-position model. The record is from RNAcentral.